UACGAAGGGGGCUAGCGUUGCUCGGAAUCACUGGGUGUAAAGCGCACGUAGGCGGCUUUCUAAGUCAGGGGUGAAAUCCUGGAGCUCAACUCCAGAACUGCCUUUGAUACUGGGAAGCUCGAGUCCGGAAGAGGUGAGUGGAACUGCGAGUGUAGAGGUGAAAUUCGUAGAUAUUCGCAAGAACACCAGUGGCGAAGGCGGCUCACUGGUCCGGUACUGACGCUGAGGUGCGAAAGCGUGGGGAGCAAACAGG
RNAcentral lists this ribosomal RNA (253 nucleotides) under uncultured bacterium. RNAcentral describes it as "partial 16S ribosomal RNA". It matches the Rfam family "Bacterial small subunit ribosomal RNA", at positions 524 to 776 of the family's 1533-position model. The record is from RNAcentral.